RNAcentral lists this non-coding RNA (28 nucleotides) under Rattus norvegicus (Norway rat). The record is from RNAcentral. Lineage: Eukaryota; Metazoa; Chordata; Mammalia; Rodentia; Muridae.
UCAGGUUGCUGGAAUGAGAGGCUGAGGU